RNA transcript from Sphaerodactylus townsendi, 3386 nucleotides. It is a transcript of the gene named pre-mRNA processing factor 40 homolog B, with no coding region annotated. The transcript is spliced from 26 exons. The record is from RefSeq and is a predicted model, not a curated record. Lineage: Eukaryota; Metazoa; Chordata; Lepidosauria; Squamata; Sphaerodactylidae.
GGUGGGCCGAGCUGCCCGCCCGCACGCCCAGCAGAUCCGAGGCUCGGCCAUGUCAGCUCCAGACUCAGGCAGUGGUCCUCCUGGGCAGCCGGCCCCUUUCCCCCCGGCCCCACCACCACCUCCAAUUCUUCCUCCUCCUUUUAUGCCUCCUCCUGGGAUUCCGCCACCAUUCCCCCCAAUGGGGUUGCCCCCCAUGGGUCCACGCCCACCACCCAUGCCUCCCAUGCCCCCGGGCAUGAUGCCACCUCCGCCAAUGAUUCCACCCAUGCCUGGACCUCCACCCAUGGGACAGAUUCCCACAAUGGUGCCACCCAUGCUUCCUGGGAUGAUGAUGCCUGGGGUGCCAGCUGGGCCUGUUUCUGUCUCUGGUGGGGCAGCUCCUGUGACAGACCCAUCCAGUGCCACUGUGACCCAGGCAGCCCCUGUGAAGCCUGCCUGGAGUGAGCAUAGGGCCCCCGAUGGGCGUGUUUACUACUACAAUUCUGAAACCAAACAAUCAAGCUGGGAAAAGCCAGAUGAACUCAAGUCCAAGGCAGAGCUCUUACUUUCACGCUGUCCCUGGCGUGAGUACCACUCAGAGACGGGGAAGCCCUACUACUACAAUGCUCAGAGCAAGGAAUCGCGCUGGACCCGGCCCCGUGAGCUUGAUGAUAUCGAAGCACUGAUCAAGGAAGAGGAAGAGGAUUUGGAGAGGCAGCAGCUGCCUGAGACCUCUUUGUCCGCCCCUGCCAGUCCGAGCCCAUCGUCUGCUGCCACGUCAGACACAGAAGGGACUGGAGGCAUUGAAGGACAGGAGACCCCAACCACUGAGGGGGCUCCUCCUGCAGCUGAGGAGGAAACCAUAAGCAGUUCUGGCCCUGGACGGAGAGACGAGGAAGAUCGAGUCACCGGUAAUGCCUGGAGCAGCAAGGAAGAAGCCAAGCAAGCUUUUAAGGAGCUUCUAAAAGACAAGGGUGUCCCAGCAAGUGCAUCAUGGGAGCAGGCCAUGAAACUCGUUAGUAGUGACCCACGAUUCAGUGCCUUGCCCAAACUGAGUGAGAAGAAGCAGACUUUUAACGCCUACAAGGCCCAGCGGGACAAGGAGGAGAAAGAGGAGGCCCGACUCCGGGCAAAGGAGGCCAAAGAGGAGCUGCAGCGCUUCUUGGAACAGCACAACAAAAUGAGCUCCAUCACUCGCUACAGGAAAGCAGAGCAAAUGUUUGGGGAGCUGGAAGUGUGGGCCAUGGUGCCGGAGCGUGACCGCAAGGAGAUCUAUGACGAUGUUCUCUUUUUCUUGGCAAAGAAGGAGAAGGAGCAUGCCAAGCAGCUGCGCAAGAGGAAUAUCCAGGCUCUGAAGAGCAUCCUGGACAGCAUGAGCCGCGUCAGCUUCCAGACCACCUGGUCCGAGGCCCAGCAGUACCUGAUGGACAACCCCAGCUUUGCCGAGGAUGAGGACCUGCAAAACAUGGACAAGGAAGAUGCCUUGAUCUGCUUUGAGGAACACAUCCGGACUCUGGAAAGGGAGGAGGAGGAAGAGCGCGAGUGUGGCCGACUACGAGAGAGACGCCAGCAGCGCAAGAACAGGGAGGCCUUUCAGGCCUUCUUGGACGAGCUUCAUGAAAAUGGGCGCCUGCACUCCAUGUCCACCUGGAUGGAGCUGUACCCCUCGCUCAGCACUGACAGACGCUUUGCCAACAUGUUGGGUCAGCCUGGUUCCACUCCUCUAGACCUGUUUAAAUUCUAUGUGGAAGACCUCAAGGCACGCUUCCAUGAUGAAAAGAAGAUAAUCAAGGAUAUUCUCAAGGACCGCAACUUCUGCGUGGAAAUAAACACGACCUUUGAAGAUUUUGCCCAUGUCAUCAGCUUUGACAAACGUGCUGCUACCCUUGAUGCAGGCAACAUUAAGCUGACUUUCAACAGUCUGCUGGAGAAGGCCGAGGCACGGGAGCGAGAGCGGGAGAAGGAAGAAACUCGUAAAUUGCGGCGCAAGGAGGCAGCAUUCAAGAGCAUGUUGCGUCAGGCAGCUCCCCCUCUGGAACCUAAUACCACCUGGGAUGAGGUGCGCGAGCGGUUUGUCAAUAACAUAGCUUUUGAACAGAUCACGCUGGAAUCAGAACGAAUCCGUCUGUUUCGUGAGUUCCUGCAAGUGCUGGAGACUGAGUGUCAACACUUCCAUGCCAAGGCUAAGAAGCAUGCUAAGAAGCCCAAGAAACACCAUCACAAACGCUCUGCUUCGGGCUCAGAAUCAGGCUCAGAUCAUCCCCACCGGGGAGCCAAACGCAAGAAACGGAACCAUUCUGAAUCAGCUGGUUCAGGAGCAUCUUCUUCACCUGAUUCAGAGCACAGCACCAGGCGCUCCAAGAGACAGAAGAAGAAGAGUAGAAAAAAAAGAGCGCCAAUCGAACAGCCCAGAAAGUGAAGCUGAGCGCAAGAAAGAGCCCAGCCGCCCUGACGAGUGGGAGCGGGAGAAGAUCCCUCCACGGCCUGAGGGAAGAGGCCACUCCCCUCCCCGGGGUGCCAGAAGGGAGCGGAGUGGCUGGGAUACCUCAGAGAGCGAGGAGCUCAGUGAAGGGGAGCUAGAACGGCGGCGGCGGACUCUUUUGCAGCAAUUGGGCGAUCACUAACAGCUGCUGCCUUUUCUGUGAGGUUUCCUCCCCCUUCCCCAUUACAUGUGAGACCCAGUUGGUCCCAAUUGCUUUCCUUUGGCCUGAAUAGCAUCCAGGUCAAGUGUGUGCAUUGCCCUGACUGGAACCUGCUUAAUCGGGCUGCAGCCCUGCGUGGUAACUGUUUACUUACUUCUGAGGCAGGAAUGUCAUCCUGCCUCUUGGGAGGGACAAUCCCGAUCAACUCAUUCUGUCUGCAGAGAGCACAGAGGGGGAUUUUGGACAGACCACCUGGACCUUGAUGGCUUUCCCAAAGUAUACCAGCAGCUCUGGGAUCCAGCCUAGAGAUGAAAUGAGAUGGGGUUGGCUUGAGCCGGCAUCCAUUAGAAAACAGACACUGGAUUGAACAACAUCCCUUAUCUGCAUUCGCCGGCUGGGAACCACCUUGAUCAAGAAUCAGAAGGCCCAGGGCCAGCUAGUAGCAGUCCAGUGUGUUUCGGGGUCAGGGAUGGGGUGUGUGGGCCUGAUCUCAAUUGUUUGUUCCCGCCAUUAGAUCCCUCUUGCUGGUUGCGAUAUCCCUUGUGUGUUGGGGAUUCAGUGGGAUUUUUAAAAUAAUAUUUAUAAACCUGGAGCAGAUCUGUAUUGUGUUCUGACUUCCUGUAAAGGAUUAGUUUAAAUGUGGUAUUGACUUCAGAUUGUCUUGAUGCUGGCCCUCAGCUCUGUUUCUUGGCCUAUUAGGAAAAUCUUCAGGUUGCUUUCAGUGUAUCCUGGAUCCUGAUCAGACAGCAUAAAAGCAUUUUUGAA